AUCUUGCGCAAUGGGCGAAAGCCUGACGCAGCCAUGCCGCGUGAAUGAUGAAGGUCUUAGGAUUGUAAAAUUCUUUCACCGGGGACGAUAAUGACGGUACCCGGAGAAGAAGCCCCGGCUAACUUCGUGCCAGCAGCCGCGGUAAUACGAAGGGGGCUAGCGUUGCUCGGAAUUACUGGGCGUAAAGGGAGCGUAGGCGGACUGUUUAGUCAGAGGUGAAAGCCCAGGGCUCAACCCUGGAAUAGCCUUUGAUACUGGCAGUCUUGAGUACGGAAGAGGUAUGUGGAACUCCGAGUGUAGAGGUGAAAUUCGUAGAUAUUCGGAAGAACACCAGUGGCGAAGGCGACAUACUGGUCCGUUACUGACGCUGAGGCUCGAAAGCGUGGGGAGCAAACAGGA
This 399-nucleotide ribosomal RNA is filed under the name uncultured bacterium. RNAcentral's name for it is "bacterial SSU rRNA". It matches the Rfam family "Bacterial small subunit ribosomal RNA", at positions 361 to 777 of the family's 1533-position model. The record is from RNAcentral.